Non-coding RNA from Callithrix jacchus (white-tufted-ear marmoset), 1705 nucleotides. The record is from RefSeq and is a predicted model, not a curated record. Lineage: Eukaryota; Metazoa; Chordata; Mammalia; Primates; Cebidae.
ACAAGGAACUGGAACCAGCGCAGCGUGGCGAUAGGCGGGGGUAGAGCCCCGCCGGAGAGGCUGGGCAGCCGCUGGUGACAGACUGUGCCCUGUCCACAGCGCCUCCUGCAUGUCCUGCUGUCCUGAGCUGUCCCAAGCUCGGUGACAGCAUACCACGCUGCCACCAUGAACAAGGUGUCUGUCAUCAAAGAAGGCUAGCUCCACAAGCGCGGUGAAUACAUCAAGACCUGGAGGCCACGGUACUUCCUGCUGAAGAGUGACAGCUCCUUCAUUGGGUACAAGGAGAGGUCCGAGGCCCCUGAUCAGACCCUGCCCCCUUAAACAACUUCUCUGUAGCAGAAUGCCAGCUGAUAAAGACUGAGAGGCCGAGGCCCAACACCUUUGUCAUACACUGCCUGCAGUGGACCACAGUCAUUGAGAGGACCUUCCAUGUGGAUUCUCCAGAUGAGAGGGAGGAGUGGAUGCGAGCCAUCCAGAUGGUCGCCAACAGCCUCAAGCAGCGGGCCCUGGGCGAGGACCCCAUGGACUACAAGUGUGGCUCCCCCAGUGACUCCUCUGUGGCUGAGGAGUUGGAAGUGGCAGUCAGCAAGGCACGGGCCAAAGUGACCAUGAAUGACUUCGACUAUCUCAAACUCCUUGCCAAGGGAACCUUUGGCAAAGUCAUCCUGGUGCAGGGGAAGGCCACCGGCAGCUACUACACCAUGAAGAUCCUGCGGAAGGAAGUCAUCAUUGCCAAGGAUGAAGUCGUUCACACAAUCAGCGAGAGCCGGGUCCUCCAGAACACCAGGCACCCAUUCCUCACUGCACUGAAGUAUGCCUUCCAGACCCACCACUGUCUGUGCUUCGUGAUGGAGUACGCCAACGAUGGCGAGCUGUUCUUCCACCUGUCCCGGGAGUGUGUCUUCACAGAGGAGCGGGCACGGUUUUAUGGUGCAGAGAUCGUCUCAGCUCUUGAGUACUUGCACUCUUGGGACAUGGUGUACCGCGACAUCAAGCUGGAAAACCUCAUGCUGGACAAAGAUGGCCACAUCAAGAUCACUGACUUUGGCUCUGCAAAGAAGGCAUCGGUGAUUGGGCCACCAUGAAAACCUUCUGUGGGACUCUGGAGUAUCUGGCGCCUGAGGUGCUGGAGGAAAACUAUUGCCGGGCAGUGGACUGGUGGGGGCUGGGUGUGGUCAUGUACGAGAUGAUGUGUGGCCGCCUAUCCUUCUACAACCAGAACCACAAGCACCUCUUCAAGCUCAUCCUCGUGGAGGAGAUCCGUUUCCUGUGCACGCUUAGCCCCGAGGCCAAGUCGGGCUGCUUAAGAAGGACCCCAAGCAGAGGCUUGGGGGGCCCAGCGAUGCCCAGGAGGUCAUGGAGCACGGGUUGUUCCUCAGCAUCAACUGGCAGGAUGUGGUCCAGAAGAAGCUCCUGCCACCCUUCAAACCUCAGGUCACGACUGAGGUCGACACAUGGUACUUGAAUGAUGAAUUCACCGCCCAGUCCAUCACAAUCACACCCCCUGACUGCUAUGACAGCCUGGGCUCCCUGGAGCUGGACCAGCGGACCCACUUCCCCCAGUUCUCCUACUUGGCCAGCAUCCGGGAGUGAGCAGUCUGCCCAAGCAGAGGAUGCACCCACGCUGCCAUCACCGCAGGGUAGCUUUUUUCCAACUUUUUACUUUGCCUUUUUGGUUUGUGUCCCCACCCCUACCUCCUCACCC